Molecule: ribosomal RNA, 253 nt
Filed under: uncultured bacterium
Lineage: Bacteria
Description: partial 16S ribosomal RNA
Rfam family: Bacterial small subunit ribosomal RNA
Source: RNAcentral
UACGGAGGGUGCAAGCGUUGUUCGGAAUCACUGGGCGUAAAGGGCGUGUAGGCGGCCUGUUAAGUCUGAUGUGAAAUCCCCUCGCUCAACGAGGGAACUGCGUCGGAAACUGGCAGGCUCGAGUACCGGAGAGGAAGGUGGAAUUCCCGGUGUAGCGGUGAAAUGCGUAGAUAUCUGGAGGAACACCGGUGGCGAAGGCGGCAUCCUGGACCGGCAUUGACGCUGAGGAGCGAAAGCCAGGGGAGCAAACGGG